CAGCAGCCGCGGGAAUACGUAGGUGGCAAGCGUUGUCCGGAAUUAUUGGGCGUAAAGGGCGCGUAGGCGGACUGAUAAGUCAGGGGUGAAAUCCCAAGGCUCAACCUUGGAACUGCCUUUGAUACUGUUUGUCUUGAGUUCGAGAGAGGUAAGUGGAACUGCGAGUGUAGAGGUGAAAUUCGUAGAUAUUCGCAAGAACACCAGUGGCGAAGGCGGCUUACUGGCCCAUUACUGACGCUGAGGCUCGAAAGCGUGGGGAGCAAACAGGAUUAGAUACCCCCGUAGUCCCUGUCUCUUAUAC
Molecule: ribosomal RNA, 301 nt
Filed under: uncultured bacterium
Lineage: Bacteria
Description: partial 16S ribosomal RNA
Rfam family: Bacterial small subunit ribosomal RNA
Source: RNAcentral